RNAcentral lists this ribosomal RNA (256 nucleotides) under uncultured archaeon. Its description in RNAcentral is "partial 16S ribosomal RNA". It matches the Rfam family "Bacterial small subunit ribosomal RNA", at positions 521 to 776 of the family's 1533-position model. The record is from RNAcentral.
UAAUACGUAGGGUGCGAGCGUUAAUCGGAAUUACUGGGCGUAAAGCGUGCGCAGGCGGUUGUGUAAGACAGAUGUGAAAUCCCCGGGCUUAACCUGGGCACUGCAUUUGUGACUGCACAGCUAGAGUACGGCAGAGGGGGGUGGAAUUCCGCGUGUAGCAGUGAAAUGCGUAGAUAUGCGGAGGAACACCGAUGGCGAAGGCAGCCCCCUGGGCCUGUACUGACGCUCAUGCACGAAAGCGUGGGGAGCAAACAGG